Molecule: long non-coding RNA, 615 nt
Filed under: Lactuca sativa (garden lettuce)
Lineage: Eukaryota; Viridiplantae; Streptophyta; Magnoliopsida; Asterales; Asteraceae
Description: long non-coding RNA (LSAT_LNC008405)
Source: RNAcentral
AGCUGUUUGAAGUUGAUCCGGCUCCUUCUUCCUCCCGGUCAAAGUCAAUGACGGGGCAAUCGAUGGCUCACCCUCUUUAAACGAAGCGAUCCCGUACAUCGUCAAGCAGAUGCUUAAGAUCACCACUAGCCCACCAGCAGCUAGUGAGCCAGCCGCACCAGCAUACUCUGUGUUCCUUAGUGGGCCUGCUUUCACAAAUGGGCCCACUAGAAAGAACCCAUGGGCUAGCCCGACCUCGAUACCACGUAGUAGUGGGUUGACAGCUGUGCGGUAUCCCGGAAGGUUUGAAAGGUACCAUGCAAUCAAUGGGCUUGAUGUGACGGGUGUCUCGAGGCUUCCGAUGAAUGGGUCGCCGUUGAUGGGCUGGAUCACUUGGUAAUUGGGCUGCAUAGUACAUCAAAUCAAAAUAACCUUUUAAAAUCCUUAUUGAUUUUACAUCAUAAGAUUUUAUUGUUUAAUCAAUUAAGGUGACAUUUAGAAUAUUUUACUAAUGAUCAAACAACACAAAUUCUAAUAUGAAGUUUAAAAAAAAGGAAAAUCCAUGAAUUGAAUGACAGAAGAAAACCUUAUCGGUUUUAACAGCCUUGAUGGUGAAUGAAGAUUUGCGAGAGGAAG